CCUACGGGAGGCUGCAGUGAGGAAUAUUGGUCAAUGGACGAGAGUCUGAACCAGCCAAGUAGCGUGAAGGAUGACUGCCCUAUGGGUUGUAAACUUCUUUUAUAUGGGAAUAAAAUGUGCCACGUGUGGGAGUUCGUAGGUACCAUAUGAAUAAGGAUCGGCUAACUCCGGGCCAGCAGCCGCGGUAAUACGGAGGAUCCGAGCGUUAUCCGGAUUUAUUGGGUUUAAAGGGAGCGUAGGUGGAUUGUUAAGUAAGUUGUGAAAGUUUGCGGCUCAACCGUAAAAUUGCAGUUGAAACUGGCAGUCUUGAGUAGGGGAGAGGUAUGCGGAAUUCGUGGUGUAGCGGUGAAAUGCUUAGAUAUCACGAAGAACUCCGAUUGCGAAGGCAGCUCACUGGACUGCAACUGACGCUGAGGCUCGAAAGUGUGGGUAUCGAACAGGAUUAGAUACCCCUGUAGUC
RNAcentral lists this ribosomal RNA (460 nucleotides) under uncultured bacterium. RNAcentral's name for it is "partial 16S ribosomal RNA". It matches the Rfam family "Bacterial small subunit ribosomal RNA", at positions 338 to 795 of the family's 1533-position model. The record is from RNAcentral.